AGCCUGAUGCAGCGACGCCGCGUGAGGGAUGACGGCCUUCGGGUUGUAAACCUCUUUCAGUAGGGACGAAGCGCAAGUGACGGUACCUACAGAAGAAGCACCGGCCAACUACGUGCCAGCAGCCGCGGUAAUACGUAGGGUGCGAGCGUUGUCCGGAUUUACUGGGCGUAAAGAGCUCGUAGGCGGUUUGUCGCGUCGUCUGUGAAAACCCGAGGCUUAACCUCGGGCCUGCAGGCGAUACGGGCAGACUUGAGUACUGUAGGGGAGACUGGAAUUCCUGGUGUAGCGGUGGAAUGCGCAGAUAUCAGGAGGAACACCGGUGGCGAAGGCGGGUCUCUGGGCAGUAACUGACGCUGAGGAGCGAAAGCGUGGGUAGCGAACAGG
Molecule: ribosomal RNA, 384 nt
Filed under: Tsukamurella inchonensis
Lineage: Bacteria; Bacillati; Actinomycetota; Actinomycetes; Mycobacteriales; Tsukamurellaceae
Description: bacterial SSU rRNA
Rfam family: Bacterial small subunit ribosomal RNA
Source: RNAcentral